CGCAUGACCGGGCGAAGCCUGUCCGCCUACCGCGUGGGUGAAGAAGGCCUUCGGGUUGUAAAGCUCUUUCGCAAGGGAAGAAAACUUAGGCGCUAAUAUCGCUUGAGGUUGACGGUACCUUGAUAAGAAGCACCGGCUAACUACGUGCCAGCAGCCGCGGUAACACGUAGGGUGCGAGCGUUAAUCGGAAUUACUGGGCGUAAAGCAUGCGCAGGCGGUUUUGUAAGUCAGAUGUGAAAUCCCCGAGCUCAACUUGGGAACUGCGUUUGAAACUACAAGACUAGAAUAUGUCAGAGGGGGGUAGAAUUCCACGUGUAGCAGUGAGGGGGCGUAGAGAUGUGGAGGAAUACCAAUGGCGAAGGCAGCCCCCUGGGAUAAUAUUGACGCUCAUGCACGAAAG
Molecule: ribosomal RNA, 400 nt
Filed under: uncultured bacterium
Lineage: Bacteria
Description: bacterial SSU rRNA
Rfam family: Bacterial small subunit ribosomal RNA
Source: RNAcentral